AUUGAACGCUGGCGGCAGGCCUAACACAUGCAAGUCGAGCGGAUGCACGGUACUUGCUCCUUCUUACGGCGGCCGACGGGCGGGUAAUUCAUGGGUAUAUCCCUAGCUACUGUGGCUUACGUGCGGACGCAGGGGCUCAUACGCCAAUCCUGCUUAGGACGAACGGGGGGGAGCAUCGGACCUUCGGCUCUCGCGUGAUCCUAGGUCGGAUUAGCUAGUUGGUGGGGUAACGGCGUACCAAGGCGACGAUCCGUAGCUGGUCUGAGAGGAUGAUCAGCCACACUGGAACUGAGACACGGUCCAGACUCCUACGGGAGGCAGCAGUGGGGAAUAUUGGACAAUGGGCGAAAGCCUGAUCCAGCCAUGCCGCGUGGGUGAAGAAGGUCUUCGGAUUGUAAAGCACUUUUGGUGGGGAAGAAAAGCAGUAAGUUAAUACCCCGCUGUUUUGACGGUACCAACAGAAUAAGCACCGGCUAACUUCGUG
Molecule: ribosomal RNA, 484 nt
Filed under: uncultured bacterium
Lineage: Bacteria
Description: partial 16S ribosomal RNA
Rfam family: Bacterial small subunit ribosomal RNA
Source: RNAcentral